GGAGGUUGGCUUAGAAGCAGCCAUCCUUGAAAGAGUGCGUAAUAGCUCACUGGUCGAGUGGUUCUGCGCCGAUAAUGUAGCGGGGCUUAAGCACACCGCCGAAACCGCGGCAACACGCUGAAAGUGUGUUGGGUAGGGGAGCGUCGUGCAUGUGUUGAAGCCAGCUGGUGAUAGUUGGUGGAGUGUGUGCGAGUGAGAAUGCAGGCAUGAGUAACGAUUGAUGUGUGAGAAACAUAUCCGCCGGAUGACUAAGGGUUCCUGGGUGAAGUUUUUCUUCCCAGGGUGAGUCGGGGCCUAAGGCGAGGCCGACAGGCGUAGUCGAUGGAUAACGGGUUGAUAUUCCCGUACCCGUGUGCGUGCGACAAGUGAUGAAUCUUAUGGUACUAACCACCCGCCUACGUGCACUGGUCUUUUUGGUUGGUGUGUGUGGGUGCGUGGGAUCUUCGUGGGUAGUAGUCAAGUGAUGGGGUGACGCAGAGUGGUAGCUAGGCUUCCUUAUUGGAUUGGAGUGCAAGCGUGUGGCCUGUGGGGUUGGUAAAUCCGCCCCACAUAUAAGGGUGAGGCGUGAUGCGGACACCACAAGUGGUGGUAGUUAGUGUGCCUGUGCUGCCUAGAAAAGCCUCUAGCGAGUGCGUGCAUGGCCCGUACCGGAAACCGACACAGGUGGUCAGGUAGAGAAUACUAAGGCGUUCGGGUGAACUGUGGUUAAGGAACUCGGCAAAAUGCCCCCGUAACUUCGGGAGAAGGGGGACCAUUACUAGUUGCUGACAGCAUUUUUAGCUGGUGGUGGUCGCAGAGGAGAGAGGGAAGCGACUGUUUAUUAAAAACACAGGUCCGUGCGAAAACGUGGAAGUUGAGGUAUACGGACUGACGCCUGCCCGGUGCUGGAAGGUUAAGAGGACCCGUGAGCACGCCUAUGGUGUGCGAGGCGGAGAAUUGAAGCCCCAGUAAACGGCGGUGGUAACUAUAACCAUCCUAAGGUAGCGAAAUUCCUUGUCGGGUAAGUUCCGACCUGCACGAAUGGCGUAACGACUUCCCUGCUGUCUCAACCACAGGCCCGGUGAAAUUGCAGUACGAGUAAAGAUGCUCGUUUCGCGCGGCAGGACGAAAAGACCCCGGGACCUUUACUAUAGCUUGGUAUUGGUGUUUGGUCAUGCUUGUGUAGGAUAGGUGGGAGACUGUGAAACCGCAACGCUAGUUGUGGUGGAGUCGGCAAGUGAAAUACCACUCUGGUGUGAUUGGGUACCUGAACCUUGGCCCGUGAUCCGGGUUGGGGACAGUGCCUGGUGGGUAGUUUAACUGGGGCGGUUGCCUCCUAAAUGGUAACGGAGGCGCCCAAAGGUUUCCUCAGUCUGGUUGGCAAUCAGAUGGUGAGUGUAAGUGUAUAAGGGAGCUUGACUGUGACACUGACGGGUGGAGCAGGUGCGAAAGCAGGGACUAGUGAUCCGGCAUCUACGUGUGGUUGUGGUGUCGCUCAACGGAUAAAAGGUACCCCGGGGAUAACAGGCUGAUCUUCCCCAAGAGUUCAUAUCGACGGGAUGGUUUGGCACCUCGAUGUCGGCUCGUCGCAUCCUGGGGCUGGAGUAGGUCCCAAGGGUUGGGCUGUUCGCCCAUUAAAGCGGCACGCGAGCUGGGUUUAGAACGUCGUGAGACAGUUCGGUCUCUAUCCGCCGCGCGCGUUGAAACUUGAAGAAGGCUGUCCCUAGUACGAGAGGACCGGGAUGGACGUACCUCUGGUAUGCCAGUUGUUACGCCAGUGGCAUGGCUGGUUAGCUACGUGCGGGAGGGAUAACCGCUGAAAGCAUCUAAGCGGGAAGCCUGUUUUAAGAUGAGGUUUCUAUUGAGGUUCCCUAGAGAUGAUGGGGUUGAUAGGCCAGGGCUGUGAGCAUGGUGACGUGUUGGAGGUGACUGGUACUAAUACACCGACACAAAAAACACC
This 1939-nucleotide ribosomal RNA is filed under the name human oral metagenome. Its description in RNAcentral is "bacterial LSU rRNA". It matches the Rfam family "Bacterial large subunit ribosomal RNA", at positions 1096 to 2925 of the family's 2925-position model. The record is from RNAcentral.